AUUGAACGCUAGCGGGAUGCUUUACACAUGCAAGUCGAACGAGCGGCGGACGGGUGAGUAAUGUAUGGGGACUGCCCGAUAGAGGGGGAUAACUACUGGAAACGGUAGCUAAUACCGCAUACUAUCGGAUAACCCAUAUGGGAUGAGCUGGUAGGUGAGGUAAUGGCGCACCUAGGCGACGGGCCCUAGCCUGUCUGAGAGGAUGAUCAGCCACACUGGUACUGAGACACGGCCCAGACUCCUACGGAGGCAGCAGUGGGGAAUAUUGCACAAUGGGCGCAAGCCUGAUGCAGCCAUGCCGCGUGUAUGAAGAAGGCCCUAGGGUUGUAAAGUACUUUCAGUCGGGAGGCGUUACCGACAGAAGAAGCACCGGCUAACUCCGUGCCAGCCGCCGCGGUAAUAC
This 403-nucleotide ribosomal RNA is filed under the name uncultured bacterium. RNAcentral's name for it is "partial 16S ribosomal RNA". It matches the Rfam family "Bacterial small subunit ribosomal RNA", at positions 30 to 526 of the family's 1533-position model. The record is from RNAcentral.